Long non-coding RNA from Limanda limanda (common dab), 550 nucleotides. RefSeq lists it as uncharacterized. NCBI's taxonomy places the organism in Eukaryota, Metazoa, Chordata, Actinopteri, Pleuronectiformes, Pleuronectidae. The record is from RefSeq and is a predicted model, not a curated record. The transcript has 4 exons.
GCAACAUCAUUGAGUGGCUUCAUUCUCUAGCUUGGAGAGAACCCUGAGGAAUUUAUCAAGGUCUACCAGGAAACUGUCCGUCGUCCUGUCACCUCUGAGCCUAAUGGCAGGCGCUGCAGUCGCUGCAAGUCCGGAUUUGUACUGCCUGUAAGACGUACUAUGAUGUACUAAGACGUACUAUGAGCCAGUAUGAAGGAACUUCCAGCCCAUCCAACCAGACCUUGCAGCUCUUGCAGCAGCAUUGAAAAGUUCAGUCGACAGAGAAGAAAGAGGCUGAUUGAAGCAGGGAAGAUGACAUGGAACCAUCUUUCCACAGCCAGGAGCUGUGUGCCAUACUUCAAAUAAGACUGGAAGCUACACUGAAUCUCACAGCUACACACCACAGAUGUCUUAACACUGGGGCAGAUUCGGACAGAGUGCCACAAAGAACUUUUCACCCAGAGGCGGCAAAUAGUCAUUUCAAGCUUCACCUAAUUCGUUUUUCACUGGCUAGGCCAGGUUGUGUUUGUACUAUAUUUGUGCUGUAUGUAAAUAAAGCUUUGACUCAACA